Molecule: long non-coding RNA, 917 nt
Filed under: Brassica napus (rape)
Lineage: Eukaryota; Viridiplantae; Streptophyta; Magnoliopsida; Brassicales; Brassicaceae
Description: long non-coding RNA (BNAP_LNC015547)
Source: RNAcentral
GAUAUUGUCAUAGUUUAACACCAUAAAUUUAGUUGUUAAUAUACAGUAUUUUCCAGAAGUAUAGAUAUGUGCUGAUGUAUUAUUUGCGUAACUGUCAAUCAUUCCUUUCAUAAUAAUAAGAAAAAUACUUGGGUUCACCAUUUCUACAAAGUUCUCAUCGACAUAAAAGUAUCCUCCAUCUUUCCUUCUGUCCAAACUCAAAGUUUCAAUCUGGUCUUAUCAUUCUACAAUUUAAUUGAUUUUUAGCGGUGAAUGGUUUAUUCACUUCAAAGGUGAACCCAAGUAUUAUUCUUUAAGAAGGACUAUAUAUAAAAAGUCUGUUACAUUAUUGGAUCGCACUGAUUUUGACUUUCACUAUAUAAAAGCCAAUCCAAGAUAAUUGUGCCAAAUUAUCCAUGUUUGUUCUAGUCAUUCCUUGUGAUUUGUAGGGGGACACGUUUUCGAAUAUUUGCAUCACAUAUCGGGUUGAUGAUUACGUGCAUGUGAAUUUUAUAACAAUCAUAGAACCACAAAAUAUUUUUUGUACCGAGUACGAUGCCUCGUUGCAUUAUUAAUUUAUAAUAAUCACAUGGCUUGGAAAAUUUUUCUCUCUCUACGCGAGACUCGAAAAGCGACAUCGCAGAUAGCUCCAGCGACGAAUUUCUCUACUGGCGUCGAAGGCCUUCUCUCCUCUGUCGUUGUCACCAUUUGCUUACGUGGCUUUAUGAGAGAAUACUAACAUAACCCUCUUCCAAAUUGGUUUGAUAAUGGAUUAAAGACAUAUUUUCUUGAUAAAUAACAAUUGGGAGAGUAAAUCAAAGGAAUCAUCAACCCACAAACUAAAUGCGAUGAUGGCAAAGUGACCGGAAAAAUCAAAACAAUGAAGGACAAGCGAAAGAGAUCUUCAGAGUCUACAUAUUUUAAGAACAAAACUUACG